GCCAAACACGGAGAGUUUUACCAGAAGCGGUGAAGGAAAAUAUUUAUUCAUUGUAUACAUUUUUUGAGAAUGAACAUAACAGAAAAAGACCUGUUGUAGCAUAUGAUAAAGUUACACUGCGUGUUUCAAAAGCAUUAAAAAUUCCACAUUCCACAGUUAAAUGUAUUAUUCACCGUUAUAAAAACAAAUCCGUUUCUGACACAGUUGAAACCAUACAUAACCAGAAUAUAAAAAAAAUGUAGGAGAAAACCCUUGUGCGAUACUUUUGAUUUGUCAUUAAUUCGUAGGACAGUACACGAAACUUACAGAAAAAAUGUGUUUUUAUCUUUAAAAUCAUUACAACGAACACUAACAUGCAGGGGGUUGAAUUUAUCAAAGACUACCCUUAAUACGAAUCUUAAAAAGAUAGGUUUUAAAUAUUACAAAAAACACGGCAAGCGUUUCAUUAAGGAAAGAAUAGACGUUGUAGCUGUCAGGUGCAGUUAUUUGAGAAAAAUUAAAACAUAUCGGACUGAAGGCAGAGAGAUUGUUUACUUGGAUGAGACUUGGUGCAACACCAAUCAUGCAUGUGAGGGUGUGUGGACUGUGUGGUAGGCAUAUCCCAUUAGGGAAGGGUAGCCGCAUUAUUAUGGAUGCUGGUUCGGCAGAGCAGGGCUUCAUUCCCAACUGUGGGCUCAUUUUUAAAUCAAAAACAAAAAGUGCCGAUUACUACGAUGAAAUGAAUUCAAAGCAUUUUCUGGAAUGGUUCGAACAUACUUUGAUACCCAAUUUGUCACCCGCAAGUGUGAUAGUACUGGACAAUGCUCCGUACCACAAUGCAUUAACAUCUGACACAAAACCUGUCUCAAGUUCUUUAAACAAAACAGCUAUUAUUUCGUGGCUGAACCAAAGAAACAUAAUAUACGACGAAGAUUUAACGAAAGCCGAGCUUUUGGCAUUAGCCAAACGAGAUAAGCCAACACCAGUGUACUGUACUGACAGAGUAGCCGAACAGCACGGUCAUAUAGCGAUUCGCCUCCCAGUGAAGCACUGUGAAUUGAACCCGAUCGAGUUGAUACAAGCUGAAGAAAAGAACUGGGUAGCUAGGGAAAAUUCUAAGAAAAAGACGUUCUUAACUUGUUUUUAAAAGCCAAAGGUACAUUCUGUCUUCCACUAAUUACAACGUCACAUCCAAGGGAAGGGUCCAUUGGGACCCGUUCCCUCGCCGAAACGUAAUUCUUGUACCCCUCUUUUGUUUAGUAAUCUCUUUGUAAUUUACGAAUGCCAAACUUAUCAACUGCUAGGCCGAAAUUUAUUUUUCCAUGUGCGAAGGAAACUUCUUACAAACUUUGGUGAAAUAGUUUUGGAUAAUAGAUUGAAAAUAUGAAAGGUUUAAGGAUGACGGUAUGACGGACGAUGAAAUCGGUUCAGGUGACCUAAAAACAUACUAUUAAUUUUUAAACAUAUGUAGAUACUCAAAUAAAUAACGUUUUUUGAAGAAAAAAAUCCGUGUAAAUAAUAAUUUGUAUCUUUACAAUUUAUCAACAAAUUACAGGGUUAAAUAUUAUUUUUAAAUACGUGUAUGAAGAGGGUCAAACAAAAUAUAUUGCAGAAUACACAAAAAAUUCCAACUGAUCCCGACCAUCCGUCAAGGACCUUUAAAUUCUAUUUUAAAAACAAAUAGCGGCUUUUGGGCUCCCUCUAUUAAAAAAUCCUAGAUCCGCGCCUGAUCUAGGGUAGGAAAAUCCCUUUGCACGAACGUGUGGUUCGCAUGUUUACGCCUACAAGGCGAAGUAGAAGUUGAAACAUUUGUUCCUUCAUCACAUUUCAUGUAGGCUAGUGAAUGCACCUGUAAUUAACAGCGAAGCAAUAUACAUUAAGUCAAUGUAUUAAAUUUCGUUCUUAAUAUAUUUCUGUGAAAUCACUAAUAUAAGAAGGUUACAUCGGAUACAUUUACUAGCUGUGUUCAAGUAUUAAAUUUGCAACAUGAAAUGUAAACAAAAUUCAAUCAUAUAACACAAUUUGUAUUAUUUUUAUAAUCUGACAAUAAUAAAAUUUACGUUUUCUUUGCACAUUACUGUUGACAUUUAUAUUUUUCAUCACUUCAGAGCUUAUCACAGCAGAAAUAUGGCGCAAAGCAGUCGAUAUCGUUAAGCGAGAAGUAGAGGAAGUAUUUUGGAAAAGAGAUGGAAUUGACAAGUCUGAAGUAGCACCGAUUUUUAUAAAUUUUUCAUCAGAUGACGAAAGUAGUAAUGACGAUGAUGCUGAGAUUUAUGAUGAAGAAAUGUUUGAUGAUGAUGUUGGCCACUACAGCAGAGUAGAUGAAAGUGAUGAUGACGACAGUAUAGAUGACGACAGUGAUGAUGGCGAGACGACGACAGUAAAGAUGCCAGAGAAGAUGGUUACGGAAAAAGCAAUGCAACUAUUCACAGCCCUGCAAGUCCAGGUGGUAACUGUGCUGUGUGUGGGUUAAGGGAACCGCCUAUGGUUAAGAAGACGAAGUCUACUUAUGACUGGGGCCAGUGCGAUUUAUGCGACUUGUGGGUGCACCUGGAACAUUGUUGUCCACAGAAAAAACUUGAUGAUCUUGACGACUUUGUAUGUCAAAAGUGUGCCAAGAUACUAAAAAAUGAAAACUAAUGAUUGUAUCUUACGUGCAUGCUAAUGGCAUGCGAUCUUCUGCGUUCGAUGAUUGUGUUAAAGUAGUUCUUCAUGUUUCUGGCUCUUCCCCAUAGUUUGAUUUUAAGCGUUUCUCCUUUUAGCAAGGUAUGCUGGUUUUGUGCACUGGUGUAGUUGAUGAAGUUUUGGUGUAUCUUGUACUCGUGGUGUUUUGGGAAGCUGAAUCCCAUCGGUGCUUGAUGGUGGUUUUGAUGUAUUUUUUCAAUUUCUUUCCUCAUUGGCAAGUUUCCCAUUCCCACAAUGAUCUGGGAUUAACUGCAGAAUAAUAGUAGGUUUAUUGAAUAGAUAAUUUGUUUUUAAGGUAACUGAUACAUUCUGUUCCAGGGCAAGGGCGCAGGGUGUGUGUCACUCUGCUACAGAUUAAAGGGAUGGAUGUUCUCACUUGUAAUUCUAAACUUUGGGUAGUAUAUGUUUCCUAAAGGUUUAUGUUAGUAUCUGACUUUGCUGUUUUCAGUUGAUAGUUUUGAAAUUGCCAUUCAAGCGUUUUUUGGUGAAAGCUUAGAACGUGCUGUGCCUCUGAAAACAUGUUUCUCUCAUCGUAUUACAAGCUGUGUUGUUCCAGCGGUUAAGUGUUGGCUUUCUGUACCAUUUCAGAGAUGGGAGUGGUUUUCAUUGUUCGAAGGAUGGUUCUGAGGCAGAGGUUAUAUGUUAGACUUUUGUUUUUGUUGAUACCAAUUAUUAUUAAGAGUGUAGGACGUAUGUAUACAGGUUUUACAUUUAAUGUAAAUCGUAGAUGUUCAAGUAUAUUUGUUGUGCAAUGAGAAAACGUAGUUAUACGAGUGGAAUAAAAAUUGUUGAUUUUCGUCAUUACUGGAUGAAAUUAAUAACACAGCUAGGUGUUAAUUUUCAAUGUUUGAUGUUCAGUAAUAGGUACAUGUAUUAGGCAAUGACACAUAAUAAUAUGUAUUUGUUAACUGAAAUGGUAGACUGUUGAGAACAAUUGUUGUGCAUUAAAUAACAUUUUUAUACAUGUUACUUUUAUUAUAAAUCAUAAAUUUUAUAAAUAUAUCUUGUGCAAUGAGUAUAAACACAUAUAUAUUCAGGACAAAAUUGGUAACACGUAUGUAUUAGUUUUAAAAUGUUUUAUAUUUAACUGAAAGUAUUACAUGUAACAACAUAUACCCAUAUGUUUCAGUUAAUAAGUGUUUGUUAAGUACAAUUAUUAUGCAAUGCAUAACACAACGCGUGUGUGUUGCAUAUAAUACAAAUCAUAGAUUUUGACAUUCUUUUAUUGUGAUAGGAGUAACGUAUUUAUAUAUGAUUUACUAUUAAUAUAUAUUGUUGAUUUUUAAUUACAGGGUGAAAUGAAUAACACCAAUAUCAUUUGCAUGUGUGUUAUUAUUUUUUAAAGUACAU
RNAcentral lists this long non-coding RNA (4014 nucleotides) under Gigantopelta aegis. RNAcentral describes it as "uncharacterized LOC121375917". Lineage: Eukaryota; Metazoa; Mollusca; Gastropoda; Neomphalida; Peltospiridae. The record is from RNAcentral.